Molecule: long non-coding RNA, 1456 nt
Filed under: Homo sapiens (human)
Lineage: Eukaryota; Metazoa; Chordata; Mammalia; Primates; Hominidae
Description: HSALNT0055320
Source: RNAcentral
GGAACACCUCUUCCCGUCCGCCAUCACAUCUAGGAAGUGAGGAGCAUCUCUGCCCGGCCGCCCAUCGUCUGAGACGUGGGGAGUGCCUCUGCCCCGCCGCCCCGUCUGGGAUGUGAGGAGCACCUCUGCCCGACCCCGACCCCGUCUGGGAGACAUCCGUUGUGGACUCUUCUUUUUUGCCCUUUGCUGGAUGGUAGGUGGAGGACAGUUAUCAGAGCUGCAGAGAAGGAAAUAACCUGUCUGGCAUCAGACACUGAUCCUGUUACCAUCUAAUCCACACAGGGACUUGGAUAACAAAUACUUGGAUAAUGAAAACAUCCAAUAAUUAAUGUGCCACCUACUCACCAGGAUCAUGGCCCAACAGGGAAAUGUGGAACAAAGCUCUCCUCAAGGGGAAAGAAAAUGGGAUACACGGCUUGGAAAACCUUCACUAACACUCCCAUAUGAAGAGUGAUAGAAUGCUAAUUUCCCACAGAUUCAUUAUCACCAUGAAAUGAAAUUUUGGAACACAUCACAGAGGCUAUACUUGAAUGCCCACACCCAUGUUCUUUCUUUCGGUAGAAGACCCAGGGUAGUAACCAUUCAGUUCUUGAAAGAUGGUCUGGAUGCAGAACAUCACCAGAACAUUGAUCUGAAACAAACAACAAAUGAAUGUAAAAGCAAGACAAAGGACUUCCAAUAACAACAAAAUAUUAGUAAUAAAAAGAUUCCUGGAAGAGUCCAGGAAUCUGCCUCAUCAGAAACACACUGGGAUUUUUUCUGCUUGUUUGUUUGUUUGUUUUUUGUAGAGAUGGAGGUUUCACUCUGUUGCCUAGGCUGGUCUUGAACUCCUGGCCUCAAGCAAUCCUCCCACUUCUGCCUCCCAAUACACUGGGAUUACAGGCUUGAGCCACCGUGCCCAGCUCACACUGGAAAUUCUAAUGUGUUUUCAAAAGAAAACAUACUGUAUACUAUACACAAACACACACACACACACACACACUGAGAGAGAGAGAAAGAAAGAAAAGAGUGUGUACAGUAUCAUUGCAUUUAUUCAAAGUUCAAGAAUAGGCAAAACGAAAUUAUAGUGACAGAGGUCAGAAGAGUGGUUCCCUCCGGGGAUGAGUAUUUACUGCAAGCAGCCUGAAGAUGCUGGAAAUGCUUUACAUCUUAGUCAAGGUGGUGGGUACAUGGGAGUGUACAUAUGUGUAUAUAUACAGGUUCAUCAAGCUGUGCCUUGUGAUUAGUGCACUUUAAAAAUGUAACACUUGGGAGGCUGAGGCAGGUGGAUUGCCUGAGCUCAGGAGUUUGAGACCAGCCUGGGCAACAUGGUGAAACCCCAUCUCUACUAAAAUACAGAAAAUUAGUUGGGCGUGGCAAUGUGCGCCUGUAAUCCCAGCUACUUGGGAGGCUAAGACAGGAGAAUCGCUUGAACCCGGGAGGUUGCAGUGAACUGAAAUCGCGCCAUUGCACUCCA